UUUUUUUCUCAAAACAUACCUCUACCUCAUUAAGAAAAUAAGCUCAACAAUUUUAGACCAUGCACCACGGCGCAAAAGCGUUUUUUUCCGUCCUUAUAUUAGAAAAAGUGAAUUCUGACAUGCUCUGUAUGGGUUUGCACCCUGCGCUUUGCACUUUGCCCAUGGACCGUCAAAAUAGAGCCCCUAGUGUAAAAGGAAUUUAUUUUACUUUAAAAGGAAGUAGUUUAAUUUCAACGUAAAAGCCCUUUGAUCUUAAAUGAACAAGAUCAUUAUUUGUCAUGAAUCAGGUUAUUGCAAAGCUUAAGAAACAGAAAUAAUGUGAUUAAUAGAGGAACUACAGAUGUUGAAUUAUGAAAAUAGAUUAUGCUAAUUUUAAAAAUAUAUAAAAAGAUAAUGCUAAGGAAUGUUCCAGCACAAUUAAAGUUUUACUAUGCAAUUAAAAUAUUAGAAAGCUAUGGGUUUAAUAAAUAUAAUGUUGCUAGACCACAGUGAUCACAGGCCCAAUAGCAUGCCAGUGGUGGUAAAAUGCAACUUAAAAUAUGUUUUUAGCAAAGUAUGAACACCUGGACAAAAUAAACUUUAAUUUAGUUUUUUAUUAAAAUCUGUGUAAACAGAUGCAGUCAGUCUUUCUCUUUUACAACUCUGCAGCACUGAUAUAGCUGAUGUUAUGUUUAAUAGUGUGGUUAACUCAGCUGCUGUAAGGAGAGGAGAACACUAAUGAACCUAAUUUUAAAUGUUGGUAUUGAUAACAAAUUUUGGCUAAAAUAUUUGUCAUUAUUUGCAGUAACAGCACAUACAUAAACUAGACACAAACAUUAGCUACUCUGUAAAAAACUAGUCCUGACAGUAUGUUUUUAGCUCAUUUUAUCUAACUGAACUAAGUUAAUCAUGUUCUAUCUUAAAUUCUAUAAGUUAUGCAAGCUGUUUUAGGUCAGUUUAACAUAAUAUAAGAUCAAUGUACUCAUGAUUAAUUUGAUUCAAUUAAAAAAAUUAGGCAACCAGCAUUUUUUUACAAUCUAGUAAAGUUUUUAUGUAGCCUAUUUCUAAGUUUAAAAUAUGUAAAGUUGCAAUUUACUAGUUUAUUUUCUUUAGAUGGGCAUUAUGUUGUUUAUUAAUGUAUUAAAUAAAAUAUUUCAAGUAUUAAAUUAAUGCUUAUGUGCCUGACAAACUUAACAAACAAAUUAGAAUAUUACAUUGGAAUAUAAUACACUGAACAUUGUAUUUACAGAAUUUUUACAAAUUACAAUGUGUGACCCAGUGUGUGAAAACCAGGCCAGAUCUAAUUCUAAGAUAAAGUUUGAUUGAAGCCAUUCAUUUCAGUUGUUGACAUUGUUUUACUCACUUAAUAUAAAAUACAUAUAUUAUAAUUAUUUUCACAGACUGUUCUUUAUUUCAUGUUAAAAACAGUAAAUUCCAAAAAAAAUAAAUAAAUAAAAUAAGACUCCAGCUAGAUUUUCACAGACUAGGUCACAUUUUUAACAUAUUAAGCAAUUAACCUAAAUAUUGUUGAUAAUGAUUACACUGUCAUUACCAUGUCUGCAUCGGGAGAUACUUGGGGUAUGAAGAACUGUCUGCUUUGAUUUUUGCAAGUUCUGUCAUUUCGGGAAUGCUGCUCUCCAGAGGUGACACAUCGUGCAGUUAGCUUAAUAACAAUUUCUAACACUCUGCAGCCAGGUAUUUGUUUCCUCUCACUCUGCAGUAUUUAUUCAGUCGCUUGCGUUUAAACUCUGAAACUUUUAAGAUGCGGAGGGUUACCUGGAGAAGCAUCUGUCAUUACUCUCUGUCAAGACUUGACAGUCUCUGCUGAAAAGACCCGCCCUCUUCACUGGACAAAGACCAAUCAAACUAACGAUGACAUCAAGUAUUACCCUAUGAAAAGUAGAACAUGAGGCAUCUACAUAAAAUGUGUGUGGGAUAAUUUGCAUGAAAAGCUACUUUAAAAAAAAAGAUAAAAAUACGAGACAAAACAUGUCCCAUAUUGAAUCAAAACGGGAUGCACAAUUUCAUUCUUAAAUACGGGACAAUUCCGUAUUUUAAGGGACGGGUGGCAACCCUACCGAGCGUGUAUAGGUGUGUUUGCAUGCAGCAAGUUUAUAUGUAUGUGCAUGUGUUAAUUUGGGUGUUUAUAUGAGGAUCAAGUUUAUAUGUAUGUGCCUGUGCAUGUGGGUGUAUGCAUGCGUCAAGUUUAUAUCUAUAUACACAAGUUUUAUCUGUGUUGUUUUGAACAUCCAGUAGUAAAGGUGUAUAUGCGAGUUAUUUAUCGGUGUAUAUGCAUGUGUUUCCUGUAUGUGUUGAUAAGCUACGUUUGAUUUAAAUCCUACACGGCACCUUAUAGAUUCACUGAAUGUAUACUGUGAUGUUUGUAUCUUCAUAAGUGUGCAUUUUCAGCUGCUUCAGGAUCAAUUAUUCUGUGGAAGGAGGCAGUCCUCCAAAUAAACCGGUUUUGUCAUCACCUGUUGUUCACCAUAGCAUACCUUACAUAAAGAUGGCCAAUGCUAUGAGAAGAUAGCCAACGCUUUGAAACUGUGCUGCAGCACAGUGGCCAAGAACUUCAACCGCUUUAAGAGGACAGAGGUUCUUCUCAGAACAGGCCUCACCAUGGUCAGCCAAAGAAGCUGAGUGCACGUUCUGAGCUUCACAUCCAAAGAUUGUCUUUGGAAAAACAGACGGAUGAGUGCUUCCAGCAUUGAUGCAGAGAUUGAAAAUAUGAGAGGUGAACCUGUCAGUGCUCACAUCGUAUGCCGCACACUGCAUCAAAUUAGUUUGCAUGGUUGUAGUCCAAGAAGGAAGCCUCUUCUAAAGACGAUGCAAGAAGCUUGCAAACAAUUUGCUGCAGAUAUGCAAACUAAGGACCAGUAUUACUGGAACCAUGUCCUGUGGUCUAAGACCAAGAUAAACCCAUUUGGUUCAUAUGGUGUCAAGUGUGUGGCAGCAACCAGGUGGGGAGAACAAAGACAAGUGUGUCUUGCCUACCAAUAAACAUGGUGGUGGGAGUGUCAUGUUCUGGGGCUGCAUGAGUGCUGCUGGCAUUGGGGAGCAACAUUUCAUUGAGGGAAACGUGAAUUCUAACAUGUACUUUGACAUACUGAAGCAGUUCUCAGGAACUGGACUGCAGAGCAGUGUUCCAAUAUGAUAAUGACCCCAAACACACCUCCAGGAUGACCACUGGCUUGCUAAAGAGGCUGAGGGUAAAGAUGAUGGACUGGCCAAGCAUGUCUCCAAACAUAAACCCCAUAGAACACCUCUGGGGCAUCCUGAAAAGGAAGGUGGAGGAGCACAAGGUGUCAAACGUCCACCACUUCCAUGAUGUUGUGAUGGAGGAGUGGAAGAGGAUUUCAGUGGCAACCUGUGAAGCUCUGGUCAACUCCAUGCCCAAGAGAAUUAAAACCAUGCUGGAAAAUGAUGAUGGCCACACAAAAUAUUGACAUUUCACAUUUUCCCUUAGGGGUGUACUCUCUUUUGUUGCCAGGGGUUCAGCUAUUAUUGGCUGUAUUUGUAGUUAUUUUGAGCGGACAAUAAAUUUACUCUGCUAUACACACUUUA
Non-coding RNA from Danio rerio (zebrafish), 3543 nucleotides. Lineage: Eukaryota; Metazoa; Chordata; Actinopteri; Cypriniformes; Danionidae. The record is from RefSeq and is a predicted model, not a curated record.